Molecule: long non-coding RNA, 2520 nt
Filed under: Marmota monax (woodchuck)
Lineage: Eukaryota; Metazoa; Chordata; Mammalia; Rodentia; Sciuridae
Source: RNAcentral
CUUAUAUCCCUGGGGUAAAUCCUACUUGAUCGUGGUGAACAAUCUUUUUCUUGUGCUGUGGGAUUCAGUUUGCUAGUAUUUGUUGAGGAUUUUUGCAUCUGUGCUCAUCAGGGAUAUUGACCUACAGUUUUGUUGUGUCCUUGUCUAGUUGUGUCCUUGUCUAGUAUAGUAUCAGGGUAAUGCUGGCCUUGUAGAAUGGAUUUGGAAGAAUUCUCUCUUCUUCAAUGUUUUGAGAUAAUUUAGGAAUAAUUAACAAUAGUGUUUUAAAUGUUUGAUAAGACUCAGUAUUGAAGCCGUCUGGUUUUAGUCUUUUCUUUGAUGAGAGUCUUUUCGUUAUGUGUUCAAUCUCAUUAUUAGUCUGCCCAUGAUAGUAUUUCUUCCUAAUUCAAUCUUCGGAAGGUGAAUGUGUGAAGGAAUUUUUCCAUUUCUUCUGUAUUAUCAGAUUUGUUGGCAUAUAGGUGUUCAUACCAACUUCUUAAAUAUUUUGCUCUGGAUAUGGUGUACAGUCACUUCACUUCCCGGAAUUCAGCUCUAGAAGAGCUCUAGAAGGCAGACAUUGACCAUUCUCCGCCAUAACACAUUGCUUUAGAGUCGGAUACAAGUCAGUGAAGUUGGGUGGGCUAUGAAUACAUCCCAGGGUGGUGCAUGCCACAGACACAGGCGUUUGUUAUUUAUGGAUUUUUCUCCUACUCUUUCCUACUAUAGCUUCAGAUAGUUAUUAAUUUUUGUGUCCAUAUAUUUUUAUUUAUAACCUAAUCUGUAAAAUUCCUAAAUUGACAUCAUGUUUGCCAUUUGGGGAUGGGAUUAGGGAGAGGUCAAUCUUUUUUUUUUUACUGGACUUAUUACAGGGCUUUGCCAAAAAUUGUUGAUUGAUAAUUUUAUGAUGGUUCUUCCUGGGCUGUGUAACUUCUUAUUUUACUUUUUUAAAUGUUUCUACUAAGAACUAAGCAGAAUCUGAAAGAGAGUUUUGGUUCAAUGCAGGGGCAGGGAUAUUUGUGAAUGAGCGUGUUUGAGCACAGGGGCAGUUUUCUGAAGACCGAAAGAGGGGCCUCUCCCUUGGCGGUUUCCUCCAAAUCCUAUUAGCAUUUGCAAUGUUUGCUGGGGGCCGGGAGCCAAGUGCUUACCUGUAUUAGCUCACAGAGUCCUUUCAGCAACACUGGUGAUCUUCCUUCUCUAGAAGAGGGCCUCGAGGCCACAGAGGUCAGGAGGAUCCGAGACCAGGCAGUGGGCGGAAGCGUGGAGCCACAGCCAGCUGUGUAUGCCCUCUGGCCUCACCAUGAGGUUUCCGAAGGGUGAUGUGCUUCAUUCCCGACUCUCUCAUGGGUGUUCGAGAUAUAGAUGUGAGUCAUAGUCUGGGUCCCCGAGAGCCUCACGGUUUGGUAGGGGCUAUAGUGGUGGUAAGAUAGAUUUUGAAAGUGUGUAUAGUUGACUCUCAUUAUUAACCAUUAUUAGUUUUGUCUUAACAAAGCUUCUGUGAACAUUGAAUCAGCCACAAAAUCAUUGACCCAGAAGAAAUACAGGGUUCUGUUCCUGGAUGCUCUGGCCACAACAUUUUUGUCAACCUAUCUAUCCAUCCAUAAUCUUGUUUCAUGUGUCUGUCAAUAUUUUUUUCCUUCUUCUUCCAGGGAUUGAACCCAGGGCCGUCUACAUGCUAGGCAAAUGCUGUACCACUGAGAUACAGAUCCCAGCUCUUUAUAUUGUUUCUGGAGGCAGGAUCUCACGGAGUUGACCUUGAACUUGUGAUUCUCCUGCCUCAGCCUCCCAGGUCUCUGGGAUUACAGGCGUGUACCACUGCGCCCAGCUCUAUGUGUCUGUGUAAAGGCACCUUCUUCAGUAUAUACUGUUGAGUCAUUAACAUCCAACUUAUGGCCAAAAGUAGAGGAAUUCAUGCCUGAACGAAGCUUCUCCAGUGUGUGUUUUCUUUCUAAGGCAUAUCGCAGCCACUCGGCUUAGCAUUUCUGUAUGACACUUGGGAACCAUCAAAAGGCACAAUAAUGGAAGAAAAAGAGGUGACACUAAAUCGACCAUGGGGACUUUGAAAAGAGUAUGACCUGAAACUGGAAAUAGAGUAUCGCUUUUCGUUUGGCCUUGGCUGGGGAUAUGUAUGUCUGGAGACUCAUAAUUUGCGCUGCUCUGCAAAUGAAGAGGAAUGACCGUGAAAACACCAAGAAUUUUGAUUUGGAGAUUACAAAUAAAUCUUAACUAGUAAGCAAGUUUGCAAAUAUAGAAUCCACAAAUAAGGAGAAUUGACUGUACCUUACAAUCAACUGAACUAGAACACUGUCCCAGGAGAGGCAAAUCUGCAGAAGGAUUCAUGCAGAGGUUUCUAGAGCAGGCGAUGCCUUCAACCAGGGUUUGAUUGACUUUCUCUGACAAGGGCCAGAGCGAGAAUAUUUUAGGCUUUGCCAGCCACACAGUCUCUGUGGCAGCUAUUUAACUCUGCUUUUGUAGCACAAAAGUAGCCAUGGAUGAUGCAGAACAAAUGGGCAUGGCUCUGUGCCAAUAAAACUUUAUGUUUGC